RNAcentral lists this long non-coding RNA (1514 nucleotides) under Coffea arabica (coffee). RNAcentral's name for it is "long non-coding RNA (CARA_LNC004754)". The record is from RNAcentral. Lineage: Eukaryota; Viridiplantae; Streptophyta; Magnoliopsida; Gentianales; Rubiaceae.
UUUUUCCUUCUUAGUGGCCGGAUGAUAGAGAGAGAAGAGGGGGGAAAAGCUUCAUUUUCCAGCCAUGAUUUCUUGGUCAAACAAGAGAGGAAACAUGCUUGCUCCAUAAACUUUUGAAUCAAGCUUGGAGAGGAGCCUUGGAGGAAGAACUUUCUUGAGCUUCUCGGUGGCUUUCCUCUUAGAAUUUGAUGGAAAAAUGAGGUAAAAGUACUAGCAACCCACUAAUUUUUUAAGAUACUUAAGUUUAUAUGAUUGUAUGUUGGAUUUGAGCCAUGGAAGUUAAGUUUUGUUGAAGACAUCUCUUGUUUCCUAAUUAUUUCUUUGUUGCCAGCUUUAUUCCAGAUUUGCACUCACCACUUGAAUUGCAUAUUCGUCCAUGAUAAAGGCAAAAUCAGUUCUUACUCAAAACAUGAAAGUUGUAUGGAUUUGAGUUAUCUUUCUACCCAAAAAAUUUCACCUCAAUCGGAGUACUGUAACUUGUGAAAUGACUAAAAUAUCCCUGACUGCCCAAAUGCCCUGUUCAACCGAUAGCUUUCUAUUUUCUUUGAGAUUUCAAUUUUUGACCAUGAAAAUGCAUGAUUUGGCUUUGGAGGUCUUCAUAAUAAAUGUAGGUCUAUGUCUUAGCUUUGAAACGCCAUAAGAUUCAUCUCAAUCCGAUAAGUGUAGCUUCAGUUGUGAUUAAAAUGCCAAAAGGUGAGAGGAACUUGAUGAUUUUAGAAUUUCCUUUGCUUGACAUGAUAUUUGUGAUCUAGGGCUUGGACUUGAGCAAGGAAACUAUCUAUGAUGGAAUAGGAUCAUGAGCUGUGGUUGGUGAGUGAUUCCAAAACUUUUUCCAAAGUUACUUUUCGAACUAUUUCUUGCACUGUUUACUCGAUUGCAUAUCAUGUGUGUUUGCGUGUGUGCCAUGCAAUGAUUUGGCUCAAAUGAGUGUUUGGAAGUUUUGUGCUUAACACUAACGUCUCCACCUUAAUGACACUUGACUUGCCUUGAAUGUUGGAGCACCGAUGGCUCCCUUGUAUUGCUAGACUGUUACUUGAUCUAUUUGAGCGUUGGAUGUUUAAGUACAAUGAUUUCACUGGCUCACAAGAGCAAUAAACUUACAUUUGAUCAUUGAUUCAUGACAUCAUCUAAAUGCACUAUUGUGAAACUUAUUUGAUUAUUAAUUUUUACUGGACACUCGCUGAGUUUCUAGCUCACUCCAAAAUAUUUAUUUCCUCUCCAUAGGGUUCGAGGCAAAUGAAGCACUUGUAUUAACUUAUUAGUGUGACUGAAUGGAAUAUCUCAUGUAUAUUUUGAAUUUCGAUUCACUUGUGGUGUGUAAAUUCGUGGAAUAUUUGAUGUAAUAUUUGAGAUUUACAUUAUAGUUUAUUUGAGGACUGUAGUGAGUCCUGGCGAGAGUUGGGCAAGUGGUCCGUCGAACCCUUUUGGUUCGCCUUAGGGGGAGGUGGGGUCGUCACAGGGGGAAGUUGUAGAAUUUCUUUUAAAUUAUAAUUAAAUUAAAUUAAAUAGUAAAA